AAGUCGUAACAAGGUUUCCGUAGGUGAACCUGCGGAAGGAUCAUUAACACGUAUCCAAACGUUAAACCCCCCUGUGAACCUUCACCUGUACUCGUACGUCCGUUAGAAAAAGCAGCAAUCCCUGGUAAAUCAUCGCCGAACAGUUUUCGAUUCAGGGAUGUUCACGAUCGUUGGAGGCCCACACGGCCGACGACCGGGUCACUGGGCGCAAGCCCCCCUAUAACAAACGCUGCUAAUCGCGGCCGCGAUAAUACGCAGUCGACCAAAAACCGAACAACUGUUAACAAUGGAUAUCUUGGUUCUC
RNAcentral lists this unclassified non-coding RNA (304 nucleotides) under fungal sp. Its description in RNAcentral is "partial internal transcribed spacer region". The stretch from base 1 to 46 matches the Rfam family "Eukaryotic small subunit ribosomal RNA", at positions 1786 to 1831 of the family's 1831-position model. The record is from RNAcentral. Lineage: Eukaryota; Fungi.